Rhagoletis pomonella (apple maggot) is the source of this 670-nucleotide long non-coding RNA. RefSeq lists it as uncharacterized. NCBI's taxonomy places the organism in Eukaryota, Metazoa, Arthropoda, Insecta, Diptera, Tephritidae. The transcript has 2 exons. The record is from RefSeq and is a predicted model, not a curated record.
UCAGGCAUUUUAGCAACCCUAUGCAUGCGAACCUGCCGCUAAACCAGUUGACCGCACGCCUGACUGGCUCGCUCAGACACAAAACGCGCAUGGAGGGGGAGGGGUUGUUCUAAGAAAGUUUCCAUUUCGCUACUUGUGUAAGUGCUUUUUUCCUUCAGGUACUUGCAACACUAUGUUGUUGUGCGGCAUUUGUGACGCGUCAGAUUAUACAUAUUACAACAAACAAAUGUCUACAAAUAAUCAUACAUACAUAUGUAUGAAUAAUACAACACAUUGGUGAACUUAAGAGAGCAAUAAUGUGUGGUGGUGUUGUAUGCGAAGCGAGUACGAGAGUCAAUGCAAUAUCUGGCAAUAAAGUGUGGAUAUUUCAUAAAGCGUUUUUGAAUUAAAGGAACAAAAGAAAAAAAAACAAGGGGAAAGUCAAGUUACAGCUGUAGGGGCAAACAAAAAUUACAAUUCACUUUACAGAAAAUGCUUCGUGCAAACAUACAGACAAGCAUACACAUUGAGUAAUCAGUCAAUAAAUGACUCCGUAUGCACUAGGGAUGUUAAUUUUUGUACUUUUUACGAUCCCGGAAUUUUCAAAAUGUGGUUAUCACAAUCGCGGGAUCCCGAGAUUGGUCCCGGGAUUUAGAUAUUCAUUACUUUUUAACCAAUUAAAUAAGAAAAA